This 253-nucleotide ribosomal RNA is filed under the name uncultured bacterium. RNAcentral's name for it is "partial 16S ribosomal RNA". It matches the Rfam family "Bacterial small subunit ribosomal RNA", at positions 524 to 776 of the family's 1533-position model. The record is from RNAcentral.
UACGGAGGGGGCUAGCGUUGUUCGGAAUUACUGGGCGUAAAGCGUACGUAGGCGGCUUUGUAAGUUAGAGGUGAAAGCCCGGGGCUCAACCCCGGAAUUGCCUUUAAGACUGCAUCGCUUGAAUCGCGGAGAGGUGAGUGGAAUUCCGAGUGUAGAGGUGAAAUUCGUAGAUAUUCGGAAGAACACCAGUGGCGAAGGCGGCUCACUGGACGCGUAUUGACGCUGAGGAGCGAAAGCGUGGGGAGCAAACAGG